Molecule: non-coding RNA, 90 nt
Filed under: Pseudomonas cichorii
Lineage: Bacteria; Pseudomonadati; Pseudomonadota; Gammaproteobacteria; Pseudomonadales; Pseudomonadaceae
Source: RNAcentral
GCUUAUGGCGGCUUUGCGUGGGGCACUUUCGAGUGCGCCGGAUUUGUAGGUUGCCCCGGUCUGCUAACCCGCGUCAAAGUCGCCACCCAU